RNAcentral lists this ribosomal RNA (358 nucleotides) under Escherichia coli. RNAcentral describes it as "partial 23S ribosomal RNA". It matches the Rfam family "Bacterial large subunit ribosomal RNA", at positions 604 to 963 of the family's 2925-position model. Lineage: Bacteria; Pseudomonadati; Pseudomonadota; Gammaproteobacteria; Enterobacterales; Enterobacteriaceae. The record is from RNAcentral.
CCUUUUGUAUAAUGGGUCAGCGACUUAUAUUCUGUAGCAAGGUUAACCGAAUAGGGGAGCCGAAGGGAAACCGAGUCUUAACUGGGCGUUAAGUUGCAGGGUAUAGACCCGAAACCCGGUGAUCUAGCCAUGGGCAGGUUGAAGGUUGGGUAACACUAACUGGAGGACCGAACCGACUAAUGUUGAAAAAUUAGCGGAUGACUUGUGGCUGGGGGUGAAAGGCCAAUCAAACCGGGAGAUAGCUGGUUCUCCCCGAAAGCUAUUUAGGUAGCGCCUCGUGAAUUCAUCUCCGGGGGUAGAGCACUGUUUCGGCAAGGGGGUCAUCCCGACUUACCAACCCGAUGCAAACUGCGAAUAC